GACGAACGCUGGCGGCGUGCUUAACACAUGCAAGUCGAACGGAAAGGCCCUGCUUUUGUGGGGUGCUCGAGUGGCGAACGGGUGAGUAACACGUGAGUAACCUGCCAUUGACUUUGGGAUAACUUCAGGAAACUGGGGCUAAUACCGGAUAGGAGCUCCUGCUGCAUGGUGGGGGUUGGAAAGUUUCGGCGGUUGGGGAUGGACUCGCGGCUUAUCAGCUUGUUGGUGGGGUAGUGGCUUACCAAGGCUUUGACGGGUAGCCGGCCUGAGAGGGUGACCGGACACAUUGGGACGGAGAUACGGCCCAGACUCCUACGGGAGGCAGCAGUGGGGAAGAUUGCACAAGGGGCGGAAGCCUGAUGCAGCAACGCCGCGUGCGGGAUGACGGCCUUCGGGUUGUAAACCGCUUUCGCCUGUGACGAAGCGUGAGUGACGGUAAUGGGUAAAGAAGCACCGGCUAACUACGUG
RNAcentral lists this ribosomal RNA (468 nucleotides) under uncultured bacterium. RNAcentral's name for it is "partial 16S ribosomal RNA". It matches the Rfam family "Bacterial small subunit ribosomal RNA", at positions 28 to 507 of the family's 1533-position model. The record is from RNAcentral.